AGUCUGGUGCCAGCAGCUGCGGUAAUACCAGCUCCAAUAGCGUAUAUUAAAGUUGUUGCAGUUAAAAAGCUCGUAGUUGGACUUGUGUGCGCUGUCCGCGGGUGGCCUGCGCCCAGAAGGGCGUUUCGGUUCGGCCCCGGUGGCGCCUUGAAAUCUGCAGCUGGGGGGACGUUGGCCUUAACUGGUCGGCGACCGCACGCCGGCUGCUCGGUUACUGUGAGAAAAUUAGAGUGUUCAAGGCAGGCAUUGGGUGCAAUUGAAUACAUUAGCAUGGAAUAAUAAAAUAUGGCUCCUGCCGUAUUUUGUUGGUUUUGACUGGUGGGAGUAAUGAUUGAUAGGGACGGUUGGGGGUGCUAGUAUUGAGCGGCCAGAGGUGAAAUUCAUGGAUUCGCUCAAGACUAACUUAUGCGAAAGCAUUCACCAAGGACGUCCUCUUUAAUCAAGAACGAAAGUUGGGGGAUCGAAGACGAUCAGAUACCGUCGUAGUCUCAACCAUAAACUAUGUCGACUUGGGAUCGGCGGUAGUUUUUUCAUUAAGACACUGUCGGGACCACGGGAGAAAUCAAAGUGUCUGGACUCUGGGGGAAGUAUGGUCGCAAGGCUGAAACUUGAAGGAAUUGACGGAAGGGCACCACCAGGAGUGGAGCCUGCGGCUUAAUUUGACCCAACACGGGGAAACUUACCAGGUCCAGAGAUGUAGAGGAUUGACAGAUUGAAGCUCUUUCUUGAUCACUUCGGUGGUGGUGCAUGGCCGUUCUUAGUUGGUGGAGUGAUUUGUCUGGUUAAUUCCGUUAACGAACGAGACCUCAGCCUGCUAGUGUAGUCGGCUGGAUUGCCUUUGGCGAUCCGUGAUUUCGACUUCUUAGAGGGACAAUCGACGCGCAGUCGAUGGAAGUUUGAGGCAAUAACAGGUCUGUGAUGCCCUUAGAUGUUCUGGGCCGCACGCGCGCUACACUGCUGGGCUCAGCGAGUUUUACUUGGCCGAGAGGCCCGGUUAAUCUUGUAAAAUCCCAGCGUGCUUGGGCUCGCCUCCUGCAACUGGAGGCGCCAACGAGGAAUUCCUAGUAGACGCAGGUCAUCAACCUGCAUCGAUUACGUCCCUGCCCUUUGUACACACCGCCCGUCGUUCCAUAAGAGUGAGGCAUCCGGUGAAUUCUCGGGAGAGCCUGGGCGUGGCCAGCAAUGGUCUGCUCGGGUUUGAACUUGCAUAAACUUGGUGCCUAUGAUUAGGG
Molecule: ribosomal RNA, 1232 nt
Filed under: metagenome
Description: SSU rRNA
Rfam family: Eukaryotic small subunit ribosomal RNA
Source: RNAcentral